UGCAGAUUAGAGAAACGGUUAUCUCACAAGGCUCAUAACCUUGAGAAAGUCGGUUCAACUCCGGCAUCUGCGACCA
RNAcentral lists this transfer RNA (76 nucleotides) under Ruminococcus sp. RNAcentral describes it as "tRNA-Met". It matches the Rfam family "tRNA". From Rfam's summary of the family: Transfer RNA (tRNA) molecules are approximately 80 nucleotides in length. Their secondary structure includes four short double-helical elements and three loops (D, anti-codon, and T loops). The record is from RNAcentral. Lineage: Bacteria; Bacillati; Bacillota; Clostridia; Eubacteriales; Oscillospiraceae.